AAAGCUUCAAUAAGGUCUCCAUCAAUGUUUAGUGCUUCAUUGCAACUAGUAACAGCAUCCUUUCCACGGCCAAGCUUGACCAGUACCUUGCAUAAACCAAGAUGAAGAUGUACAUUGUGUGCAAGAUGAUUGGGGUCUAAUGCAAGGGCUGCAUUGUAUUCCUCCACUGCUAACCGCAGCUUACCCUUGCUGACAUUAUCUUCUGCACUCUUGGUUUUCUUGAGCAGAUUCUUCAAUCCAAA
This 242-nucleotide unclassified non-coding RNA is filed under the name Hevea brasiliensis (rubber tree). Lineage: Eukaryota; Viridiplantae; Streptophyta; Magnoliopsida; Malpighiales; Euphorbiaceae. The record is from RNAcentral.